AAUGAUCUUUAGUGUGGGUGGUUUUGUGU
This 29-nucleotide non-coding RNA is filed under the name Macaca fascicularis (crab-eating macaque). RNAcentral also lists the same sequence under 1 other name. Lineage: Eukaryota; Metazoa; Chordata; Mammalia; Primates; Cercopithecidae. The record is from RNAcentral.